Molecule: ribosomal RNA, 497 nt
Filed under: uncultured bacterium
Lineage: Bacteria
Description: partial 16S ribosomal RNA
Rfam family: Bacterial small subunit ribosomal RNA
Source: RNAcentral
GAUGAACGCUGGCGGCGUGCCUAAUACAUGCAAGUCGAGCGAACAGACGAGGAGCUUGCUCCUCUGACGUUAGCGGCGGACGGGUGAGUAACACGUGGAUAACCUACCUAUAAGACUGGGAUAACUUCGGGAAACCGGAGCUAAUACCGGAUAAUAUAUUGAACCGCAUGGUUCAAUAGUGAAAGACGGUUUUGCUGUCACUUAUAGAUGGAUCCGCGCCGCAUUAGCUAGUUGGUAAGGUAACGGCUUACCAAGGCAACGAUGCGUAGCCGACCUGAGAGGGUGAUCGGCCACACUGGAACUGAGACCCGGUCCAGACGCCUACGGGAGGCAGCAGUAGGGAAUCUUCCGCAAUGGGCGAAAGCCUGACGGAGCAACGCCGCGUGAGUGAUGAAGGUCUUCGGAGCGUAAAACUCUGUUAUUAGGGAAAAACAAAUGUGUAAGUAACUAUGCACGUCUUGACGGUACCUAAUCAGAAAGCCACGGCUAACUACGUG